Molecule: long non-coding RNA, 1043 nt
Filed under: Equus asinus (donkey)
Lineage: Eukaryota; Metazoa; Chordata; Mammalia; Perissodactyla; Equidae
Description: lncRNA (ENSEASG00005024507.1)
Source: RNAcentral
ACAGGCGUGUAAACAGAUCAUUAAAAUGCAAUGUCGCAAGGGCUCUGGGAGAGUCACAGACAAGGAGCACAGGGCAGGAAGUGACUAACUCACCCUGGGAGACGUCUCACAGAAGAAGUACUGUUCAACACGAGCCUGGAAAGGUGAGUUCAAUAGAUCAUCUGUGAAGAUGGCCAAGUUUGAGAGAGGAAAAUCUGGACAGGAGAGAAAGCAUGUGUCAAAGGAGCCCAGAACGUUCCGAGAAAGGAAGUCUGCCCCCGGGUACACAGCCGUAUAUUCUUCGCUGUGGCUCCCUCCAGCCGUGGCAUGCGGGACGCCGCCUCAGCGUGGUCCGAUGAGCAGUGCCAUGUCCGCGCCCAGGAUUCGAACCAACGAAACACUGGGCCGCCUGCAGCGGAGCGUGCGAACCCAACCACUCGGCCACGGGGCCAGCCCCUGGGGGAAGUGGUUUUUAGUUUGAGUUGGAAAAGAAAGAAGCAGCCGCUUUCCACUGAGAGCCAGAAGCCAAAAUCCGAACUGUUGUCGUGAGGUCACAAGGGUGAUCUCAUAUACGGUGCCAUCUAUUCCAUCUCAGGCCAUUCCUGUGCAGCUGCUUCGAGCUAAAACUCCUCCACGCUCCACUUCUGAUUUUCCAGGGUUUCCCUGUCUGUCAGUUUCAGCCUGCCCCCUCCUGUUAUUUUUAGAUUUGAUUUUAGUCCUUAUAAAGGGCCAGGGGUGAGGAUAGGGAGAAAAUUUUCUUCAUUUUAAUUAAAAGCAGAUGACAAAGACAACUCAGUCAUGGAAAAUAACAGGAGUCACACUGUCUCUGGCUCCCAUUCGCGUAUUUCCUCCAUCAGCUGCAAGCGAGCAGAGAAGCAACAACGCUAAUUGAGUCUCCUCUGCCUUUUCCAGAAGACACACAUGAUCUAAGCAGAUCUCACCCGAGAUUCCGUUAGAGAGCUGCACGUGCUCUCCUUCCCUUUCCAUUCCCCCUCACAGAGUGAUUGCAUUUUAGAGCUGGCAGGCAGCUUCUGUGACUAUCUUCAUAUUACCAGGAGGAGCCC